Molecule: non-coding RNA, 29 nt
Filed under: Rattus norvegicus (Norway rat)
Lineage: Eukaryota; Metazoa; Chordata; Mammalia; Rodentia; Muridae
Source: RNAcentral
UCUGACGUACUCUGAAGAACUGGGCUCUA